This 442-nucleotide ribosomal RNA is filed under the name uncultured bacterium. RNAcentral describes it as "bacterial SSU rRNA". It matches the Rfam family "Bacterial small subunit ribosomal RNA", at positions 355 to 794 of the family's 1533-position model. The record is from RNAcentral.
UGAGGAAUAUUGGUCAAUGGGCGGAAGCCUGAACCAGCCAUGCCGCGUGAAGGAAGAAGGUCCUAUGGAUUUUAAACUUCUUUUGUCGGAGAGCAAUAAGGGUCUCGCGAGAUCCGAUGAGAGUAUCCGACGAAUAAGCAUCGGCUAACUCCGUGCCAGCAGCCGCGGUAAUACGGAGGAUGCAAGCGUUAUCCGGAUUCAUUGGGUUUAAAGGGUGCGUAGGCGGCUUGGUAAGUCAGCGGUGAAAUUCCAGUGCUCAACAUUGGCCGUGCCGUUGAUACUGCUGGGCUUGAAUGCGGAUGCCGUGGGAGGAAUGUGUGGUGUAGCGGUGAAAUGCAUAGAUAUCACACAGAACACCGAUUGCGAAGGCAUCUCACGAAUCCGCAAUUGACGCUGAGGCACGAAAGUGUGGGGAUCAAACAGGAUUAGAUACCCUGGUAGU